CCUACGGGAGGCUGCAGUGAGGAAUAUUGGUCAAUGGGCGGGAGCCUGAACCAGCCAAGUCGCGUGAGGGAAGACGGUCCUAUGGAUUGUAAACCUCUUUAGGCGGGGAGCAAUGCCGGGCACGCGUGCCCGUAGGGAGAGUACCCGCAGAAUAAGCAUCGGCUAACUCCGUGCCAGCAGCCGCGGUAAUACGGAGGAUGCGAGCGUUAUCCGGAUUUAUUGGGUUUAAAGGGUGCGUAGGCGGAUUUUUAAGUCAGCGGUAAAAUGUCCGGGCUCAACCCGGGCCGGCCGUUGAAACUGGGGAGCUUGAGUGGGCGAGAAGUAUGCGGAAUGCGUGGUGUAGCGGUGAAAUGCAUAGAUAUCACGCAGAACUCCGAUUGCGAAGGCAGCAUACCGGCGCCCGACUGACGCUGAGGCACGAAAGCGUGGGGAUCGAACAGGAUUAGAUACCCGAGUAGUC
This 460-nucleotide ribosomal RNA is filed under the name uncultured bacterium. Its description in RNAcentral is "partial 16S ribosomal RNA". It matches the Rfam family "Bacterial small subunit ribosomal RNA", at positions 338 to 795 of the family's 1533-position model. The record is from RNAcentral.